Cucurbita moschata (crookneck pumpkin) is the source of this 507-nucleotide long non-coding RNA. RefSeq lists it as uncharacterized. The transcript has 4 exons. Lineage: Eukaryota; Viridiplantae; Streptophyta; Magnoliopsida; Cucurbitales; Cucurbitaceae. The record is from RefSeq and is a predicted model, not a curated record.
ACGCGCGCCAGGAAGAGCAAGGGGAGCGAUGGACGGAAGAGGGUCAAGCGGCGAUUUGCUGGGCAUUCUCGAUGCCAUUUCGUCUUCAGAUGCCGUCGAGAAUCGUGUUCAGCUGCUCAAUAAACUGGAGGAUUUGAAUUUAUCAAGUAAAUCAGGCUUGAUUUCAUUGGUCGAAAGCCUCACCAGCAUGGAGAUCGUUUAAGGACCAUCUAGCAGGAAAAGAAAGCUUCCUGAAGGAAUCGGUAAGGGAAUGGAAUUGCUAACUAAUCGAUUAAAGGUUAUGCACCAGUGUCUCUCACUGUUGGAAGAAAGUCAUGUCGAUUCCUCAGAACUUCAUAAAGAACUUUUGAAUCACUUUUCUGGCCUUGAAGAUGAAAUAUAUCGGUUAAGCAGCCUGGGUGAGAUUGACUAAGCCAGUCUCAAUUCCAAAGACGGGAAAACCCAGCUAAUGCCCAUGGGUCGGUGAUUUAUGGUUCAUUCCCUGCCAUCCUUCUGUUGCAGAAGGAA